This 690-nucleotide ribosomal RNA is filed under the name uncultured beta proteobacterium. RNAcentral's name for it is "bacterial SSU rRNA". It matches the Rfam family "Bacterial small subunit ribosomal RNA", at positions 38 to 724 of the family's 1533-position model. The record is from RNAcentral. Lineage: Bacteria; Pseudomonadati; Pseudomonadota; Betaproteobacteria.
GGCGGCAUGCCUUACACAUGCAAGUCGAACGGCAGCGCGGGAGCAAUCCUGGCGGCGAGUGGCGAACGGGUGAGUAAUAUAUCGGAACGUGCCCAGUAGUGGGGGAUAGCCCGGCGAAAGCCGGAUUAAUACCGCAUACGACCUGAGGGUGAAAGCGGGGGAUCGCAAGACCUCGCGCUACUGGAGCGGCCGAUAUCAGAUUAGCUAGUUGGUGGGGUAAAGGCCUACCAAGGCAACGAUCUGUAGUUGGUCUGAGAGGACGACCAGCCACACUGGGACUGAGACACGGGCCAGACUCCUACGGGAGGCAGCAGUGGGGAAUUUUGGACAAUGGGCGCAAGCCUGAUCCAGCAAUGCCGCGUGCAGGAAGAAGGCCUUCGGGUUGUAAACUGCUUUUGUCAGGGAAGAAAUCUUCUGGGCUAAUACCCCGGGAGGAUGACGGUACCUGAAGAAUAAGCACCGGCUAACUACGUGCCAGCAGCCGCGGUAAUACGUAGGGUGCGAGCGUUAAUCGGAAUUACUGGGCGUAAAGCGUGCGCAGGCGGCUUUGCAAGACAGAGGUGAAAUCCCCGGGCUCAACCUGGGAACUGCCUUUGUGACUGCAAGGCUAGAGUACGGCAGAGGGGGAUGGAAUUCCGCGUGUAGCAGUGAAAUGCGUAGAUAUGCGGAGGACACCGAUGGCGAAGGCAA